Molecule: long non-coding RNA, 982 nt
Organism: Gasterosteus aculeatus aculeatus (three-spined stickleback)
Lineage: Eukaryota; Metazoa; Chordata; Actinopteri; Perciformes; Gasterosteidae
Source: Ensembl
CAAACACUUCCGGUUUUAGCUCCGGUUACAUUGUAAUGUAACGCCUUUAGCUCACAUUAACUAAAAUUAUAUUCCUGCAUAUUAAGCACGGGGUUAGGAUUAGCUCCAGUAAAGCAUUGUUUAAAAACAAACACUUUCAACCUAGCUGACGUUUUUAAGUUGCCCAAUGACACUCAACGCCCAACAGAAACCGGGGUUAAAUAUCAACGGACAUUAGCUUGCUUAAGCUAACGUUGCCUGACGCCCCAAACGGCUGAGCUGCCGUGAGUCAUUAGUCCGUCUGGCAGCGCAUUGUUCGAGGUGACACGGAGGUGACAUUAUAAAAAGCCAGCCGUACAUUAGUCAGACACUACUCACCUCUUCGCGAGUCGGUGCGGAAAGUCCCAACAUCGACCGAGCGUUUUUAGCGAAGACGUCACACCGCCUCUUUCUACUUCCGGUUGUCUGUGGAAUGAAAUAAAGAUUACGAACUGGAACUUAAUAAGGAUACAUAACAUAUAUACGUAUAUGGACGCAUGGCGCGGGCCGUAAUGCUUCUAAUGCUACAACGUCUACAGCAAACUCUUCUAUAAGGCUAUUAAAGCUAAACUAGUAGUACAAAGAAUAGACGGCAUACUUACAUGGAAGCUUGGAUGAAGACCAGUCGAACGGGCUCGAGUCACGUAAGGCAUCAUUCGGUCUGUGGUUGGAAUCUGAAAUCCUCAUUGUAGUUCCCCUGAAAUGACCACGCCCCCUUUAACUGACGUGUCAAUCCUACGAUCUGCUUUAGAUAAUGGUAAUACAGCCCCAGAUGGCAAUUACAGUUGGAACAAAACAUACCAAGACCACAGCAUCCCAAAUAAGAAGGCUGCGUUUGUGGACAGGCACAAUCGGGUCCUUGACUUAUCCUGUAACUUUCCCAAUAAAAUCAAAUUUUCAAACAGUAUUUUCUUCAUUCCCACUUACAAAACAGCCCUUCACGAGUGUAAAACUUGAUCCGCAG